RNAcentral lists this ribosomal RNA (279 nucleotides) under uncultured bacterium. Its description in RNAcentral is "partial 16S ribosomal RNA". It matches the Rfam family "Bacterial small subunit ribosomal RNA", at positions 506 to 784 of the family's 1533-position model. The record is from RNAcentral.
UGCCAGCAGCCGCGGUAAUACGGAGGGUGCAAGCGUUGUUCGGAAUUACUGGGCUUAAAGAGUGCGUAGGCGGCUUGGCAAGUUGGGUGUGAAAUCCCUCGGCUCAACCGAGGAAUUGCGCUCAAAACUGCUAGGCUUGAGGGAGACAGAGGUGAGCGGAACUGAUGGUGGAGCGGUGAAAUGCGUUGAUAUCAUCAGGAACACCGGUGGCGAAGGCGGCUCACUGGGUCUCUUCUGACGCUGAGGCACGAAAGCUAGGGGAGCGAACGGGAUUAGAUA